This 1433-nucleotide ribosomal RNA is filed under the name uncultured organism. Its description in RNAcentral is "16S ribosomal RNA". It matches the Rfam family "Bacterial small subunit ribosomal RNA". The record is from RNAcentral.
CGCUAGCUACAGGCUUAACACAUGCAAGUCGAGGGGCAGCAUGGUCUUAGCUUGCUAAGGCCGAUGGCGACCGGCGCACGGGUGAGUAACACGUAUCCAACCUGCCGUCUACUCUUGGACAGCCUUCUGAAAGGAAGAUUAAUACAAGAUGGCAUCAUGAGUCCGCAUGUUCACAUGAUUAAAGGUAUUCCGGUAGACGAUGGGGAUGCGUUCCAUUAGAUAGUAGGCGGGGUAACGGCCCACCUAGUCUUCGAUGGAUAGGGGUUCUGAGAGGAAGGUCCCCCACAUUGGAACUGAGACACGGUCCAAACUCCUACGGGAGGCAGCAGUGAGGAAUAUUGGUCAAUGGGCGAGAGCCUGAACCAGCCAAGUAGCGUGAAGGAUGACUGCCCUAUGGGUUGUAAACUUCUUUUAUAAAGGAAUAAAGUCGGGUAUGGAUACCCGUUUGCAUGUACUUUAUGAAUAAGGAUCGGCUAACUCCGUGCCGGCAGCCGCGGUAAUACGGAGGAUCCGAGCGUUAUCCGGAUUUAUUGGGUUUAAAGGGAGCGUAGAUGGAUGUUUAAGUCAGUUGUGAAAGUUUGCGGCUCAACCGUAAAAUUGCAGUUGAUACUGGAUAUCUUGAGUGCAGUUGAGGCAGGCGGAAUUCGUGGUGUAGCGGUGAAAUGCUUAGAUAUCACGAAGAACUCCGAUUGCGAAGGCAGCCUGCUAAGCUGCAACUGACAUUGAGGCUCGAAAGUGUGGGUAUCAAACAGGAUUAGAUACCCUGGUAGUCCACACGGUAAACGAUGAAUACUCGCUGUUUGCGAUAUACAGCAAGCGGCCAAGCGAAAGCGUUAAGUAUUCCACCUGGGGAGUACGCCGGCAACGGUGAAACUCAAAGGAAUUGACGGGGGCCCGCACAAGCGGAGGAACAUGUGGUUUAAUUCGAUGAUACGCGAGGAACCUUACCCGGGCUUAAAUUGCAGAUGAAUUACGGUGAAAGCCGUAAGCCGCAAGGCAUCUGUGAAGGUGCUGCAUGGUUGUCGUCAGCUCGUGCCGUGAGGUGUCGGCUUAAGUGCCAUAACGAGCGCAACCCUUGUUGUCAGUUACUAACAGGUUCCGCUGAGGACUCUGACAAGACUGCCAUCGUAAGAUGUGAGGAAGGUGGGGAUGACGUCAAAUCAGCACGGCCCUUACGUCCGGGGCUACACACGUGUUACAAUGGGGGGUACAGAGGGCCGCUACCACGCGAGUGGAUGCCAAUCCCCAAAACCUCUCUCAGUUCGGACUGGAGUCUGCAACCCGACUCCACGAAGCUGGAUUCGCUAGUAAUCGCGCAUCAGCCACGGCGCGGUGAAUACGUUCCCGGGCCUUGUACACACCGCCCGUCAAGCCAUGGGAGCCGGGGGUACCUGAAGUGCGUAACCGCGAGGAGCGCCCUAGGGUAAAACUGG